UAGCGAAAAACAGAAGUGUUAAAGUUGCAACGUUUAUAGUUCUACCAACCAAAAUAAGAAGCACGCAUAUAAGGGUAGCCUCUCAUGGAGAGUCCAGCUGCCUGUUUCUCUGCUUUCUGAUGCCCUCACAAUGACAUCUGCUCCUAAAGUCACACCAGCUUGUGAAGGAAAAACGGAGUAAAACAAGGAAAAAUGACUUUUACUUUUGUGUGCUGAGAACAAAAGCAACACAACUCACCAGGAACCAUCCCUGCCAGCGUGGAGGUGGGGUAGCUGCCUUGUCCUGUCGGGGGGACGUGAGGCGGGUAGCCAGCUUCUGUUUUCUCAACCCCCGGGCAACCGUUGUCAAACAGACAGCGGCUACAGCGUAACAGCAACUGAUACAAAUGCUGCGUUCAAGACCACUGAACUCUGAAACUAAUCAGAUAUGGUGUUGCUUAUUGUCCUGGAGACGAGGCAGCGCCCGGGAAAAGGGAGCCUGUCAAAUCAGAGGCCCUGAUGAUGGAGAUGGAAGAUAAACUCGGGGUCCACGGGGACCUUGUUCCCCCUGCAAACACAUCUCUGGGAGAGAGGAGGUGGUAUAGAGUUCUCCAGCAUCUGUCUGUGCUCCACCACAGAUACCACAUCUACAGACCCCAUCAACCAUAGAAAUGGACCGUUAAGAACCUGCACCAAUCCUGGCAGUGAUGCUUCAGGAUACAGACUGUCAAGUUUGAGCUCACAUCCUCCACAAGGAGAGUCAGUCAGCGGACCAUUAUCAUCCCCAUCAUCACCAGCAUCAUCCUCACUUACCGUUUGCAGCUGCGCUCUGUAGAUGGCGCUCCGGCAGCAGCUUCCAGGCCCCUGCGUCCAUGCGCGCAGGCGGGCUGCAGGCGCGCAGGCCGCCACUGUACGGGUGGAUGCAGCUGAGGCCGGCCGGGUCAAAGGUUGAUGAUUUGUUCGACAAACUUCCCACUGGAAACUUUCUGUGAGCGGUGGAAGCAGAUCCAGAGAAAACGUAUAAGGGUCUCCGGAGGUUCCAGUCCGGACAAUGAUAUAUCUAACUCCCCUUUGAGGUCAGCUGGACGGAGUCCAGAACAUCACCUGCAAUCAAUAGUGUUGGUAAAGCAGGCCCAACUGAACACAUGUGAGGGCAAAGCCUCUGCUCACAGUCCCACGGUGGGUAUGAAAGGACUGCAUGGCCCAUUGCCCCGCUAAAACCAAACCAGAGCCAGGCCGGACACCUGACACAACAGCAUGUUCACGAAGGGCAAAGAGAAAAUAAAGACUAGGUUUGAGGAAUUAUAAGAUUGUAUAUAAAUAAUCCUCUGCAUUUAUAAUAUAAACGAGGUAGGGCUUAAUAAUUGACACCAUUUAUGUAAUUGAUGCCACUGUCAUAACUCAGAGUUAGCUUUUUGGGCUUCUCUGUUGGCAGCUUAGUCUAAUCAUUGGCAGACCCAAAUGUAAUGUUUGAGAAAAAGAAAAUCUAUUCCAAAGUGUUUCUAGUGGUUUUUUUAAAAAUCAUGAUUAUAAUAUUUUUAGGCAAAAUCAUCAACUCAUUGUCAUUUUCUGGGACAUAGUUUCUGCAGAGCGGCAGUAGCUCAUAAGAAAUUCGCCUACUGUGUCUUUCUAACUGCAUGUUUUUGUCUGCUCCUG
Molecule: long non-coding RNA, 1635 nt
Organism: Oryzias melastigma (Indian medaka)
Lineage: Eukaryota; Metazoa; Chordata; Actinopteri; Beloniformes; Adrianichthyidae
Exons: 7
Source: RefSeq, a predicted model, not a curated record